CCGCUGACUUUUAAGCAUAUCAUAGCGGGGAGGAAAAGAAACUAACAAGGAUUCCCCUAGUAACUGCGAGUGAAGCGGGAAAAGCUCAAAUUUAAAAUCUGAGGGUCCUUGCGGCCUUCCGAGUUGUAAUCUAGAGAAGUGCUAUCCGCGCUGGACCGUGUACAAGUCUCCUGGAACGGAGCGUCAUAGAGGGUGAGAAUCCCGUCUUUGACACGGACUACCAGGGCUUAUGUGAUGCGCUCUCAAAGAGUCGAGUUGUUUGGGAAUGCAGCUCUAAAUGGGUGGUAAAUUCCAUCUAAAGCUAAAUAUUGGCGAGAGACCGAUAGCGAACAAGUACCGUGAGGGAAAGAUGAAAAGAACUUUGGAAAGAGAGUUAAACAGUACGUGAAAUUGUUGAAAGGGAAACGCUUGAAGUCAGUCGCGUUGGCCAGGAAUCAACCUUGCUUUUGCUUGGCGUAUUUUCUGGUUAAUGGGUCAGCAUCAAUUUUGACCGGUGGAUAAAGGUCAGGGGAAUGUGGCAUCUUCGGAUGUGUUAUAGCCUCUGGUCGCAUACAUCGGUUGGGAUUGAGGAACUCAGCACGCCGCAAGGCCGGGUUUUUAACCACGUACGUGCUUAGGAUGCUGGCAUAAUGGCUUUAAUCGACCCGUCUUGAAACACGG
This 660-nucleotide ribosomal RNA is filed under the name uncultured fungus. Its description in RNAcentral is "eukaryotic LSU rRNA". It matches the Rfam family "Eukaryotic large subunit ribosomal RNA", at positions 25 to 664 of the family's 3401-position model. The record is from RNAcentral. Lineage: Eukaryota; Fungi.